ACAAUCAUGGCAAUCUUCCGCAAUUCCUCGUCAGCUUGCAUAAUCUUUUUAAUCUGAGCCUGCAAAUAAAUAGGAAAUGAGGUAUUAGUAUGGUUAUAUUCAGAUCAAAGAAAAAUUUAAAUUUUAGAAACAAGAUCUGAUGUGACCUGAAAGCAAUUUGGUCCAGUUAAACACAUUAAAUUGAAAAAGGAGAACAAUUAAUAUUCAAAUAGCACCAACGUAAUAGUUGUCAAAAUAUUUCUCAAAAAAACAAAUUCUGGUACAAUAAAGUUUGAACCUCGAGAAACUAAACAAACAGGAAAUUCACAUAAAAACCUCAAACACUUUACCCUUUUAUGGAACGUUCAUUUCCCACAUAAACGUGGCUUGAACAAGUCACAUACCUCAAGUACUCUACCCUCUCCUAUCCUAUAGACUCAUGAUAUAUUUGAUCUUUACCUAAUACACUCUAGAGUUUUCUUUGAAGUACUAAACAGUUAAGUGCUCAGUGACUAUAUAGUUCAAACGGCAGUAAAAAAUGUUGAAUUACUUGUUAAAAAUACAUAGCUUAUUGCAAAGUAUUUUUUUGGUCUCAAGAGUCUCCUAUAAACUCAUGAUGUAUCAAUCUUUCCAAAGUACACUAGAGACUCUAUAGUGUUUUUCUUUUGAAGCACUAAAAAGAAGUGCUUAGUAGCAGUAAAAUUCGAGCGGCAGUAAGUAGUCAACAAGACCUACCUUAAGUGUCUCAACAAACUACUCUACAAAUUGCAUCAAAUAUUUUAGUAGUCUUCCUUACAAGGUGAUAUCAAAGAAUUGUUCGAGCUUAAUAAGGAAUUAACUUGAUGAGUAUCAUGACAUCAAACUAAAAAACAGUGUUGAAUCUUCAGUUGCUCUAAUUCUAUUUCAUUGUAGAAAAUAUCAAAUUGCAACAUCUUUUUGUUAGUUCUUCCAUAUGUGAAAUGGAGUAUGAAAUACAGAUUAUUCCACAAAAUAAAGAUUAAAAAAAACAAAAAGAAAGAUAGUUACUUAGAUAGUGAGCAUACAACUUUUGAGAGUAAAUAUGAGUAAAUUUUGGUGAGGCAAAGGUCGAGCACCUAGAAGGCAAUUAUUAACCAGAGGGCAAAUUUUGGUGAGGCAAAAGGUCGAGCACCUAGAAGGCAGUUAUUAACCAAAACUUAAAAUACUCUGAAGUGAUCUAUGUUUAAUGAUUUCAUCUAGCUACUUGAGCACACCACAACUUAAAAAAAACAACAAUUUAACAUGCAAGUGGAAAGCGAACUUCGCCUAUCACAGACAUUCAUCCACAAAUCUGACGCUCCUAGAAAGUAAAUCAAAGGGAAAAAAAUCAUUAAACACAUUAUCUUAGAAGAUUUGCAAUUUGGGAUUAAAAACUUACAGGAAACGCAAAAAUAGAAACACCUAACCAAAAUUUUGAAAGACUCAAUAGCUGCAUCCGGAUCUAUCAUCAGCAACAUUUACUUAGAUCGCUUUCCCAUCCAAACUCUGCAAGAUUUCAUAUAUAUAUAUAUAUUUAUAUAUGUACGUGGGAGAGAUAUAUCAUUUGUGUUAUGGGAUUGGUUGCCACCGGUGAGACGGAGAAGGCAUAAAGCAUCCGUGAUAGGGUAGUGGUGAUGAGAAAUGUUUGCUAUUUUAAAAAUAAUUUCUAAAGUUUUAGGAACUUAGAUCUACAGAAUAGAGGGAAUAAGUUUUUUAGCGAAAAGUUAUUUGGAGGGAAAAGAUAAAAUAAUACGUAGCAAAAAUUUCUUUGAAUUAGUGAGUUUCAGUGGCUAUUUCCUUUUAUUGCCAGUAAAAGGGUACUUAAUACCGGCCAAUGCUCAUCUGCCGCUAACAUUUGAGUUUAUGAAAUCAUUUAGUGGCC
RNAcentral lists this long non-coding RNA (1858 nucleotides) under Nicotiana tabacum (common tobacco). Its description in RNAcentral is "long non-coding RNA (NTAB_LNC007137)". The record is from RNAcentral. Lineage: Eukaryota; Viridiplantae; Streptophyta; Magnoliopsida; Solanales; Solanaceae.